RNAcentral lists this ribosomal RNA (257 nucleotides) under uncultured bacterium. RNAcentral's name for it is "partial 16S ribosomal RNA". It matches the Rfam family "Bacterial small subunit ribosomal RNA", at positions 524 to 776 of the family's 1533-position model. The record is from RNAcentral.
UACGUAGGGUGCGAGCGUUUAAUUCGGGAAUUACUGGGCGUAAAGCGUGCGCAAGGCGGUUCUCCAAGUCCGUUGUGAAAGCCCCGGGCUCAACCUGGGAAUGCAGUGGAAACUGGGGACUGAAUCUGGCGAGGGGGUGGAAUGGCCGCGUGUAAGCAGUGAAAUGCGUAGAGAUGUGGAGGAACACCGAUGGCGAAGGCAGCCCCCUGGGUCAAGAUUGACGCUCAUGCACGGAAAAGCGUGGGGGAGCAAACAGG